RNAcentral lists this long non-coding RNA (360 nucleotides) under Ictidomys tridecemlineatus (thirteen-lined ground squirrel). RNAcentral describes it as "lncRNA (ENSSTOG00000032993.1)". Lineage: Eukaryota; Metazoa; Chordata; Mammalia; Rodentia; Sciuridae. The record is from RNAcentral.
ACUUCUACAGUGGCAUUGAGUAAUUAUGAGGUAAUCUGAUUUGUUUUUAUUUUAGGAUGUAUGACAAUCCUGCCCACAAUUCUGUUCUUAAUUGCAAGAAUAUUAAAAGAUACAGCAAUAAAUUCUGCAGACAAUCAGGUUCCUCUACCCAUCAGUGCAACUUUUCAAGGCAUUAAAAUUAUUGUGACACUUCCAAUGGCCAAAACUGAGGAAACUCAAAAACAGUGGACAGCUCUAAUUCGUAGCACUUUUGCAUGUAUCCUGGAAUAUUCACAACCAGAAGAUUCUGUGCCCACACCUGAUGAAGUUAGCAUGCUGACAGCAAUUGCACUCUUCCUGUGGUCUGCUGUAGUGAAAUAA